ACGUAGGGUGCGAGCGUUAAUCGGAAUUAUUGGGCGUAAAGCGUGCGCAGGCGGUUGAUUAAGACAGGCGUGAAAUCCCCGGGCUUAACCUGGGAACUGCGUUGGAGACUGGAAAACUAGAGUGCAGAAGAGGAAAGUGGAAUUCCAUGUGUAGCGGUGAAAUGCGCAGAGAUAUGGAGGAACACCAGUGGCGAAGGCGACUUUCUGGUCUGUAACUGACGCUGAUGUGCGAAAGCGUGGGGAUCAAACAG
RNAcentral lists this ribosomal RNA (251 nucleotides) under uncultured prokaryote. RNAcentral describes it as "partial 16S rRNA". It matches the Rfam family "Bacterial small subunit ribosomal RNA", at positions 525 to 775 of the family's 1533-position model. The record is from RNAcentral.